AUGAGGUCGAUUUUAUCCUCAGACACUCCACACAGCGAAUUAAUCCACCUGCAGUACAUGUCCUGUCCACCAGAGGGCUCCAAAUCUCCACAGCACUGCAGCACUGUUUCGUUUCCUUUAAUCACAAGUCUGCUUCCUGUUCCAACAAACACAUGCUGUGUGUUCCUCUUUCCUGAGUUUACUCUGUUGAUCUUUCUGUACUGGUUUCUGGAGAUUUUCUUUACUUUGGAGGAGUUUGACGGAGCACCACGUUUAUACGGUGAGGACAAUAUUAUUCUUGAUUUGGGGAAAACUGGAGGGAGAAAAACCCUCAAGAGACACAGAGAUUCAAGACUGCGCACUUUAAGAUGGAGUAGUGUCUGCACCACUGAUCAGAGUGAAGCGGUUGAGGUACUGGCGGCUGCAGGACGACCAGGAGAACACGCCGUUGUUCCCCGCCAGAGUAGGAGACAUGAUGUUCCCCUCCGCCUUCCUGCAGGGGUUCCCCUCUCCGUCGUGGAUCAUCCCGAAACUGAGACGGAGUGAGACAUCAGAAAAAUCAUAAGAAGAUGGCCUGGACACAUCCGAGGCACCAAAAACCUCUCAGUGGUGAAGAGACCAUAAAGGUGGGGCUGAAGUGAGAAAGUAAACCACAGGGUGAAGGAGUCACUGUGGAAACACUGGGAGAUGGUUACGGAGUCGUGGGCCACUGGGUCAAAAAGACACCAGUCCCUUCUCAUCCUCACCCCGUUCACCCUCGGGGCAAUUAAGCCUUCUGAAGCUCCCAUCAAAACGCUCAGGGUGGAGACGAGAAGAGCCAGGUUUACUGCAUGACUGCACAACAACAACAACACAACCAGGUCAUCUGAUCCGAACCGAUGUGGAGGGAACAGAGCGAGCCCACAGCCAGGAAGAGACUUCACUCCUGAGGGAUGAGUGAACGGAGCGAGCCCACAGCCAGGAAGAGACUUCACUCCUGAGGGAUGAGUGAACGGAGCGAGCCCACAGCCAGGAAGAGACUUCACUCCUGAGGGAUGAGUAAAUGGAGCGAGCCCACAGCCAGGAAGAGACUUCACUCCUGAGGGAUGAGUAAAUGGAGCGAGCCCGUUCAUUACAGCUAACAUUAUAACUAAUGUCACGGUCAGCAAUACACCACAGUACAGCUAAUAUUACAGCUAUCAUUAUACCAACUGUCACAGUGAACAGCUAGCAUUAUAGCUAACGCCAUCAUUAGCAAUAUACCUCACAAUACUGCUAAUAUUACAGCUAACAUUAUAGCUAACCUCAAUGUGACCAUUAUACAGUACAGUACAGCUAAUAUUACAGCUAUCGUUAUACCGUCACAGUGAACAGCUAAUAUUAUAGCUAACGUUAUAGUUAGCAUUAUACCUCACGGUGCAGUUAACGUUAUAGUUCCAUCACAAUUAACUAAUAUUACUUAGCUAAUAUUACAGCUAACAUUAUAGCUAACGUCACUGUUAGCAUUAUACCUCAAAGAACAACUAAUAUUACAGCUAACAUUAUACCUAAUGUCACAGUUAACCGCUAAUAUUACAGCUAACGUUAUAGCUAGCAUCACAGUGAACAUUAUAUACCAUGGUAUAGCUAAUAGUGCAGCUAACACUAUAGCGACUACAUGCUAACACUGCUAAAUGACAGUGUUGGCUACAGUAGAGUGAGCUCUGUGUACAGUAUGUGAGUGGACUGGGGGAGUUUAAAGAGAUGGGCAGUACGUGUGUAUUUUUAAAAUCUGCUUAUUAAACAAACCCAGAAACUCGUAGUUACAUGACCGCUCGGCGGCGGUGUGAUACGGCCGGCAUUUUAAUCCUCAGAGCAGAUCGUGGGCAGACUCUUUACUGGUCAGGAAGAAAAGCUGCAUGAAAAACUACACUGUAAUUUCCAUUCAGUAAUCAGAGGAGUUUCUGUGUGUUCAUCAUCAAACACCAAACUGACCCUGUUAUUUAAACCAGGAAAAUUAUACACUCUAUGUGUGUGUGUGUGUGUGUGUUUGUGUGCAUGUGAGAAUGUGUGUGUGUGAGUGUGUUUUUGAGUGUGUGUAUGUUUGUGUUUGUGCGUGUGUGUGUAUGAGUGUGUGUUUGUGUGCAUGUGAGAAUGUGUGUGUGUGAGUGUGUUUUUGAGUGUGUGUUUGUGUGUGUGUGUGUGUAUGAGUGUGUGUG
Molecule: long non-coding RNA, 2156 nt
Organism: Hemibagrus wyckioides
Lineage: Eukaryota; Metazoa; Chordata; Actinopteri; Siluriformes; Bagridae
Exons: 3
Source: RefSeq, a predicted model, not a curated record